UCAGAGGGCUGUUGGAGGAGUAGAUGAGGUGCUACAUGCAGGGCCCUGAGAACUGUCCUGUCGCUCAGGAAGCAAGUUUUGCAGGGUGUGGACAAUCGGGCAAGUGACUGCAUGUGACAACAGAGAGAGGGCAUGGUACACGGUGGCAGAUGAGCCCGGGACUGGAGGCAGAUCUGGGUUCCAGUUCGGGCUCUACCAGCAGCACCCAUGUGUCCUUCUGUUCUCUGGGCCUCAAUUUCCUGUUGUAAAAUUCAGAACUUGGAAGAGGUAAGUGGUUAGGUCAUUCCUGAGACAUCCCAGAUAAUCACAGCCAUCCAAACGUUGGCUCGGGAGCCCUGAGUAACCAAGACUGCAGGAAGCAACAGUUUAGUAAGGGUUCAGAAUCCUGUGAUUAGGGCUCGAGAAUGAAAUACUCUUCUAAGAGCUUCUCCCAGACCAAAAGGAGCUAAUUAGGAAAGAAUGGUGGCAUUCUCUGGGCAAACUGGAGGAGCCCCUGGGCUUGGCCUCCUUAUGCCUUCCUCCUUGACCCUCCUCUAGCCCCCUUGGACACAACACAACGUCCCCCCUCUGCUUUUUCCCCAGAUACUAUGGUAAACCUGCUCUCAGAUCUUUCUCCACACCUAGAAAAAUUCAUUCAUCGACUAUACACUUUAAUGAAUAUGCACUUACUAUGUACCAGAUAUUCUUUGGCUGCUAGGGCAGAGCAGCAGGGACAUAGCCCCUGUCCCCGUGGGGUCAACAUGCUGGUGGAGGGAGUCAGAGGUAAUAAAAUAAGCAAGUAAGACACACAGUAGAGCAGGCAGAGUUGGCGGAGAACUGGAUCUAACUGGGUUGGGGUUUUGCCAAGCAAGUACAGUCCAACUUGGAGUGUGGAGGGAAGGGUAUAGAAAAGGUAGGGACUAGAAUAACUAACCCUGGAAUUUAGGCUGGGAAAGGAGGGAGUAGGGAUUUGAAAGCGGGUGAGGUCAGUAGUCUGUGGGGCCCUGAGGGGCGAUGGCUCCAAGGCACGAGCCGGAAAGAGGUUUGACAGUGGCUUCUCUGGAGGGCUCAAGCUUGACCAGGAAACUGAGUGCCGAGCCCUGGAAGAUCACUGGGGAGAGGAGGUCAAAGAACUGGGAGGCCAGGGCACCAUCGGCGGGCUGGUAAGUGGAUGGUGAAACCACCAGGCAGGGGGCAGGAGGAGCUGGAGAGAGGACGCGAGAUGGGAGCUAAAAUCCUAAAAUCCGCAGGGAGUGCGGAAAGCAGUGACAGCAGUGAGCGCGGGGAGGCUGGUCCUGAGUCUGGGAUGGGGCGAUGGCGUUCAAGAAGACAUAUUUAAGAGUACUAUGUAAUUUUACGUGUGGGAAGAACCUUUUGUUUUUGUAAUUAGAACUACAGAAAGGGACAGAGCUGUUUAUGUCAUGAAAAGCAGGCCUGAGCAUUAGAAGACUGAGAAACACCUGGGAGGAUCUUGUUUCAACAGAGCUCAAAGCCGUGGCAAAAGGACGGAGCUCGAAUUGUGCAAUUGAGGAGUUAAGGACACGGGAUCUGGCCGGGCACCAUGGCUCACACCUGUAAUUCCAGCACUUUGGGAGGCCAAGGUGGGCGGAUCACUUGAGUUCAAGAGUUCAAGAUCGGCCUGGGCAACAUGGCCAGGCAACAUGUAAAAAUACAAAAUUUAGCUGGGUGUGGUGGUGGGCGCACCUGUAAUCCCAACUACUUGGGAGGCUGAGAUGGGAGAAUCAUUUGAACCUGGGAGGUGGAGGGUGCAGUGAACUGUGAUUGUACCACUGCACUCCAGCCUGGGUGACAGAGUAAGACCUCGUCAAAAAAAAAAAUCCAAAAAUGUGGGAUCUGUUUAAACCCUGGCUCUGCUCCCUGCUACUCAUUACCCUCAUCUGUGCAGCAGGGGUGAUACCAGCCCUCACCCCUCUGUUUCUGAGAAGUAGAUGAGCGUGUAUGUGCACAGAGACCUGCCUGCAGUGUUGUGAGGACUCACAAAAUGUUGGCUAGAUAUCCUAAUCUUUCUCAUGUUUGUUGGCAAACAAAAACAGGCUGAGAUGGCCCUGUGCCAUUCGUAUAUCUGUGUGUGGAAUAACAGACAGUAUAAAGCUGAAAAGCAGGUCCCUCCCUGGCUAAUUGCAUUUCAGCAGCCGCUGGGAGGCAGUGUGGCGGGGGGCGGGGAGUGAAACUGUGCGGGGAGUCAGGGAGCCUGGGUUUCCUCCUCAGCCAAUGAGGCCAAGGCCAAAUCAGGAUGUCCCUGAGCCCCUGUUUGCCUACCUGUAACGUGGGGAUGACGGUUCCUGCCAGGUACCCACAAGGCUGUUGUGAGGACUGAAUGAGGAAAUGCUCCUUGAAGAUAAAUGACAAUGCCACAGAAGAGCGGAUGCAGCUCCCCUGUGCUGAGUACUCACCUACUGUGUGCUGGGCACAGGGGCAGAGCCACCCACCCCUCCCUGCAGCAGUGCCUGGAAGGCAGGACCAGCAUCCUGAUAGCCAGAGUUGAGACAGAGUUUAAGGGCCUGCCAGGCAUAACUCCCUCGCCAGGCAUAGAAAUAAAGGAACAUCUUGAGUUCUUUCAAGGGAAGUUCCAGGCACCUAGCUAGCCCUGAGAGUAAAUGAACAACAUGAUAAGCAAGAAGGAAAUAAUAGCUUUUCAAAAAAAAUAGCCAAGGAAGUUAGAGUCACAAAAUACUUGGUUCCCUAUUGAAACUUAAGAUAACAUCUUAAUAUAUGUUCCUGAGUUGUUUUUCAGAAACCCAGGCCCCCAGCAAAUGGAAAAUGCCAUCCACUGGCACAGAGACUUCAGUUGGGAGCCGAGGACUGAACUCAGACCACCAUUCUUUGUUCAACAUUUCUUCCUGAGGGGCCUGGAGGAAGUCACACCCACAGGCCAGAGCUCAACAUUCCUUUCUGCUGACCCCAGGCACCAGUCCAUGGCACUCCCUAUGCCUGCAGGAUACCACAUCAAAGCAGAGUUGGGGGAGCAUUUCAGGAGGUUCCUGUGAAAAACCUACAUGCACACACCCCCACGUGCAGCUGCAGACUGCUAUCUAUACACGAAGUUAUGCAUCGCAGAGUCGACUGCAAAAGGCUGGAGCCCACACAGCGUCUAUCAAUAGGGAACGGGUUAAAUCGACCACAAGAUUUCCAUAUGACGAUGGAACACUUUCCAGCCAAGAAAGGAGGAGGAAGUCCUCACUGCUCUGAUACGGAACAGUCACCAAGACAUAUUUUAAGUAAAAAAAAGGCAGCAUGCAUAACCAGGGAAAUGAAAACUAAAACCACAGUGAGUUACAAUUUCACACAGAUCCAUCUACAAAAAAAAAAAAGCUGAUAAUUGCAGGUGUUGGUGAAGAAGUGGAGUGAGGGGAAUGCUCAAACUACUAGUGGGUGUGCGAAUGGUUAUAACCACUUUUUAAAAUUUUGGCAUUAUCUACUGAAGUUGACAAUGUACUUUCCCAAUGGCCUUGCAAAUGCCCUGGAGAAGUUCUUACCCAACCCCCGCCAUUCCCCCCAACACACACCAAAAGAAACAAUUAAGAACAUUUGCACCAGCUCUGUUCCUAGAACCCCAAAACUGAGGCCAGCACUGAGGCCAAGCACAGUGGCUCAUGCCUGUAAUCCCAGCAGGCAUGAGCCACCCUUUGGGAGCCUGAGGCCGGAGGAUUAUUGAGGUUGAGAGUUCAAGACCAGCCUGGGCAACAUAGUGAGACCUUGUCUCUAUAAAAGAAGUUUUAAAAAUUAGCCAGGUGUGAUGGCUCAUGCUUGUAGUCCCAGCUAAUUGGGAGGCUGAGGUAGGAGGAUCGUUUCUUGAGCCCUGGAGGUUGAGGCUGCAGUGAGCCAUGAUUGCACCACUGCACUCCAGCCUGGGCAACAGAAUGAGACCCUGUCUCAAAAAAUAAAAUUAAAUUAGAAAACAAUAAUAAUUAUUAUUAAUAAAUAAAAUAGUCCAAUGAAAAUAAUCAUACUAUCUCCAUGCAAUGGAAUUCUAUACAAGAGUGAAAAUGAACUAACUCCGGACAUGCGUAUCAGUACACUGAACUUCAGAACUAUAAUUAUGGGUGGGACAAAAGCCAGCCAUAGAAAACUAUUCUAUUCAUAAUCCCAAAAAGGUAGUAUACCAUAUUCAAUUAUUAUAUAUAUUUAUGUCUUGUUAUAUAUAAUGUUUAUUACAUUUAUCUUAGUAUAAAAAUAUAGUAUAUUUAUCAUAAUCUAUUAUAAACAAGUAGUAGGAUUAUAAAAAGACAAAAAGGGCAGGAUAAGCGUAAAAUUCAUGAUAGUAUUUAGGGGAAGAGGAGGGUGGGGCUGGAGAGAGGCACAUGGUUUCAAAAGCCCAGCUUCUUUGUCUAAAACAGGGCGUGGGUACCCAUACUGGUCUAUUGUAUUGUGGGUGUCUUUAAAAUGUAUAUAUAUUCUAUAACUACUAUUUUUGUAUCUACUCAAUAUUUAAUUUUAAAAUUUUAAAUGAGGCCUAGAACACUAUAAAAAGUAUGCUACCAUUUGUAUAGAAAAAGUGGACACACACAUCACUCAUGUGCAUAGAUUAAAGUGUCUCUGGAAACUUACACAUGCAACUGGUGAAACUGGUUUCCUCUGGGGAGGAGAACUGGGAGGCUGGGGACAAGGAGGGGCAAUAAAUCAAUUGAAAUUAAAAAUCACAAAAUUUAAGGAGAAGGAGACAAAGAAGGGAAGGAGGAAGAGAAGGGAGGGUGGAGGGGAGAGGCCAAGUCCUGGUCCCAGGAGGGACAGGGAGCAGAAAGAGGAGGACUGGCCAGGCUCUGGCUAUCAAAACCUGUGUGUGCCACAGGCACGAGUGGAGCCAGAAGCCUGCAGUCCUGCCCAGGAAAGCCUGUGUCCUCCGCGCACAACUCAGGCUUAGACCCAGAGAAUGCUCUUUCUUGCACCUGAGGACGGGGCUGGCUUCAAACAGUUGCCCAGGUUGACCCUGGCUCUGCAGUCUUUUGUUUCCAGAGCUUUGCUUCCAAACGAGGCUCCCUUGGGUCUCUUUCCCUGGCCCUGCCUUCUUAUCUCCAACCUUCACCCCACCUGUGAUCCAAGCGAUUCCUUUGAAGUUGCUUCAGAGUCUUCUGAGCCUUCAUCCUUGAUGACUCUGAAAUGUGCGUCUGUGGCACCAAGGUCAGCCAACAGCAAGUAGGCCCUUUUCAUCUCCUUUUAAACCUUCCCCUCAAGGACUCAGUGUCCUUGCUGUAUUGCCUUAUCAAAACCUGCUCACAUAUCCUUUGUUCACACUGGGAUACCGGUCAUUUAAAGGAAAACAGGCCCACUCUAACCAGGGUCACUGCCAAGUCCCUAAGUAUCAUGCCCUUGAGAGGUAAAAGCAUAAAGCACUAAGGGUAGAAUUUUGGGCAACAGCCAGUGGACAAGGACAAAAUGGGUGCAAUAUGCAGGGGUCCCUUCUGCCCCACCGGUAACCAUAACACCUCAGGACACAGGCUGGGGUCUGUAUUCAAAAGUGGGUCCCUCAGACCGGGCACAGUGGCUCACGCCUAUAAUCCCAGCACUUUGGGAAGCCAAGGCCAGCGGAUCCCUUGAGCCCAGGAGUUUGUGACCAGCCUGAGCAACAUGGCGAAACCCCAUCUCUACAAAAAAUACCAAAAUUAGUCUAGUCGGGCAUGGUGGUGCACACACCUAUGGUCCCAGCUAUUUGGGAGGCUGAGGGGGGAGAAUCGCUUGAGCCCCAGGAGGCAGAGAUUGCAGUGAGCUGUGAUCGAGCCACUGCACUCCAGCCUGGGCAACAGAGUGAGACCCUAUCUCAAGAAAACAAAAACAGAAAGUAAAAAAGCAAUCCUCGAGCAAAAGUGGGUCCCUCAGAGCCCAAUGACAGUGAUGAGGAGGAUGAGGUGGGAAAGGUAGUGUUACUCUGAACUAAAAAGGACUGCCCAGUGUGACCCUAUCUCCCAAACAGCCCAUGCAGGGAUCUGGGUGGCACCAUAGUACAGAAGUGGGUGCCAAGAGAGGCCUGGGCUGCACAGCCAGGUGCAUACAUGCCCUGGAGUCCAGGACAGGAUCAGCAGCAAAUCCACUCCAGGGAGCUCUCCCCCCUCACCAUCCUCUCAAUCAGGGUUCCCCAGUUGAAAAGCACCUUGGCAGUUCAUAAUUCUCCCUCUAAAGCCAGAAAGUGCUGUAAAGGAUAACAGAAGCCUGGCUGCACAGUGGAGCUUAAUGGAAGUCAUUCAACAAGCAGGUCUGGAGCAAACAUCAUGGACCAGCAGUACUGUGUGUUGGCACAGAUGUGAAGCAACUAUACUCUGAUACGGCUUGGAUAUGUGUCCCCACCCAAAUCUCAUAUUGAAUUUUAAUUCCCAGUGUUAGAGGAGGGGCCGGGUGGGAGGUGACUGGAUCAUGGGGGCAGAUUUCCCCCUUACUGUUCUCACGAUAGUGAGUUCUCAGAUCUGGUUAUUUUAAAGUGUGUAGCACCUCCCACUUUGCUCCCUUCCUCCUGCUUUGGCCAUGUAAGAUGUGCCUGCUUCGCCUUCCCCUUCCGCCAUGAUUCUAUGUUUCCUGAGGCCUCCCCAGCCAUGCUUCCUAUACAGUCUGCAGAACCGUGAG
Molecule: long non-coding RNA, 6552 nt
Filed under: Homo sapiens (human)
Lineage: Eukaryota; Metazoa; Chordata; Mammalia; Primates; Hominidae
Description: HSALNT0105562
Source: RNAcentral